RNAcentral lists this long non-coding RNA (1472 nucleotides) under Ornithorhynchus anatinus (platypus). Its description in RNAcentral is "lncRNA (ENSOANG00000041283.1)". The record is from RNAcentral. Lineage: Eukaryota; Metazoa; Chordata; Mammalia; Monotremata; Ornithorhynchidae.
GGGAAAGAGAGAGGGAAGGGGGAGAAGGGGAAAGGGGAGAGAAGGGAAAGAGGGAGGGGGAGGGAGAGAGACGGAUGGGGGGGGAGAGAGACAGAGAGAGAGAGAGAGAGAGAGAGAGAGAGGGGGGAGGAGGAGGGGGGAAGAGAGAGGGAGGGGGACGGGGGGAAGAGAGAGAGAGCGCUCGCCCCCCCCCCCCCCGCGCGGCCCCCCGGGGCGGUCAGGUGACGCGUGACGUCAGGCCGGGGGCGGGGCUCGGGCUCCACCUCCCUCCUCCCUCCGCCCCCCCCCUCCCCGCUGGGCGCGGGCCCGGGCGGGGCCGCGCUGACCGUGAGCGCGCUCCUCGGUUGCGCGCCGCCUGCCCUCCCUCCCUCCCUCCCUCCUUCCUUCCUUCCUUCCCUCCCUCCCUCCCGCCCCGCCUCCCCCGCCGCUCAGCGCCCCGCCCCGCCCCGCAGCGCGCAGCCCCGCACCGGCACCGCCGCCACCAGCAGCAGCCCCGCCAGCAGCAGCAGCAGCAGCAGGAGGAGGAGGAGGAGGAGGCUGCGGCCCCGUUUGGUCCGGGCAGGCCGCCUCUGACCUCUGACCCCGUGCGCACCCUCCCCCCCCCCGGCCGGCCUUUCCCUCCGCGCCCCCGGCCCCUCCUCCGGGAAGCCCGCCGGGACCCUCCCCCUCCUCCUCCCCCUCCUCCAGGCCGCCCUCGGGGCUCCCUCCCAUCCCCCUCCUCCUUCUCCUCCCGGACGCCCUCCGGGAUCCUCCUCCCUCCCCCUCCUCCUCCUCCAGGGCGCCCUCCACAAUCCUCCCCCUCCUCCUCCCUCUCCUCCAGGGCGCCCUCCGGGCUCCUCCCCCUCCCUCCUCCUCCAGGGCGCCCUCCACAAUCCUCCCCUUCCUCCUCCCCCUCCCCCUCGUCCAGGGCGCCCUCCGGAAUCCUCCCCCCUCCUCCAGGGCGCCCUCCGGGAUCCAGCUCCUGCUCCUCCUCCUCCUGGCGGCCCUCCUGGCUUGGGGCGCAGGCCUGGGCCCCGCCGGUUGAUGGAUUACCUGGAGAAAAUGGAUGCCCUCCAGAAAGGCUGGCAUCCCUGGGCUGCACCUUCCCCUGGCAGGCCCUCACGGAAGACGGGAACGGCAGGAAGAAACCAUCUCGUUCACUCGGCGCCGACUUGCUGUCGUUACAGCUACGGGGAAGCCCCAGACGGGAGAAUUGGCCGUGCGACCUUGGGUAAGUCACUUCACUUCUCAGUUCCCUCACCUGUCAGAUGGGGAUGAAGACGGUGAGCCCCACGUGGGACAGGGAUUGUGUCCAACCUGAUGAACCCGUAUCCAGCCUGGCGCUUAGAACGGUGCUUGGCACGUAGCGGGUGCUUAAUAAAUGCCAGAAAAAAGCAGACUUGUUUUUAGAAUAUUUAGCUCCGAAUUCAUGGCCCUUCGCCCCUCCCAUUUCUCCAGUGAGAGCGCAGGAGCUGCAGAUGUGAAGAUUGAGG